This is a small nuclear RNA of Lethenteron reissneri (Far Eastern brook lamprey), 106 nucleotides long. The record is from RefSeq and is a predicted model, not a curated record. Lineage: Eukaryota; Metazoa; Chordata; Hyperoartia; Petromyzontiformes; Petromyzontidae.
GGGCUUCAGGCAGUACAUGUACUAAAAAAUUGGAACGAUACAGAGAAGAUGAGCAUGGCCCCUGCGCAAGGAUGACACGCAAAUUCGAAAGUCGGUGGAGUUUCGU